GAUGAACGCUGGCGGCGUGCCUAAUACAUGCAAGUCGAACGCACAGCGAAAGGUGCUUGCACCUUUCAAGUGAGUGGCGAACGGGUGAGUAACACGUGGACAACCUGCCUCAAGGCUGGGGAUAACACUUGGAAACAGAUGCUAAUACCGAAUAAAACUUAGUGUCGCAUGACACAAAGUUAAAAGGCGCUUCGGCGUCACCUAGAGAUGGAUCCGCGGUGCAUUAGUUAGUUGGUGGGGUAAAGGCCUACCAAGACAAUGAUGCAUAGCCGAGUUGAGAGACUGAUCGGCCACAUUGGGACUGAGACACGGCCCAAACUCCUACGGGAGGCUGCAGUAGGGAAUCUUCCACAAUGGGCGAAAGCCUGAUGGAGCAACGCCGCGUGUGUGAUGAAGGCUUUCGGGUCGUAAAGCACUGUUGUAUGGGAAGAACAGCUAGAAUAGGAAAUGAUUUUAGUUUGACGGUACCAUACCAGAAAGGGACGGCUAAAUACGUG
RNAcentral lists this ribosomal RNA (497 nucleotides) under uncultured bacterium. RNAcentral describes it as "partial 16S ribosomal RNA". It matches the Rfam family "Bacterial small subunit ribosomal RNA", at positions 28 to 507 of the family's 1533-position model. The record is from RNAcentral.